This 754-nucleotide ribosomal RNA is filed under the name uncultured Sphingobacterium sp. RNAcentral's name for it is "bacterial SSU rRNA". It matches the Rfam family "Bacterial small subunit ribosomal RNA", at positions 27 to 776 of the family's 1533-position model. The record is from RNAcentral. Lineage: Bacteria; Pseudomonadati; Bacteroidota; Sphingobacteriia; Sphingobacteriales; Sphingobacteriaceae.
GGAUGAACGCUAGCGGCAGGCCUAAUACAUGCAAGUCGAGGGGUAACGCGUGUAGCAAUACAUGGCGACGACCGGCGAACGGGUGAGUUACACGUAUGGAACCUGCCCUUUACACGGGGAUAGCCCUCGGAAACGAGGAUUAAUACCCGAUAGGUUAUGCUAAGVCAUCUUGGCAUAAUGAAAGCURAGGCGGUAAAGGAUGGCCAUGCGUCCGAUUAGUUAGUUGGUGAGGUAACGGCUCACCAAGACGAUGAUCGGUAGGGGAUGUGAGAGCAUGAUCCCCCACACGGGUACUGAGACACGGACCCRACUCCUACGGGAGGCAGCAGUAAGGAAUAUUGGACAAUGCCCGGAAGGGUGAUCCAGCCAUGCCGCGUGCAGGAAGAAUGCCCUAUGAGUUGUAAACUGCUUUUGCAGUGGAGAAAACCCUCUAACGUGCUUGGAGGUUGCUAGUACACUGCGAAUAAGCAUCGGCUAACUUCGUGCCAGCAGCCGCGGUAAGACGAAGGAUGCGAGCGUUAUCCGGAUUUACUGGGUUUAAAGGGUGCGUAGGCGGAUAUAUAAGUCAGUGGUAAAAGGUCGUGGCUUAACCACGGUAUAGCCAUUGAUACUGUAUAUCUUGAGUACACUGGGCGUAUGUGGAAUAUGGCAUGUAGCGGUGAAAUGCAUAGAUAUGCCAUAGAACACCGAUCGUGAAGACAGCAUACGAUGGUGAUACUGACGCUCAGGCACGAAAGCGUGGGGAGCAAACAGG